This is a long non-coding RNA of Dreissena polymorpha, 809 nucleotides long. RefSeq lists it as uncharacterized. The transcript is spliced from 7 exons. The record is from RefSeq and is a predicted model, not a curated record. Lineage: Eukaryota; Metazoa; Mollusca; Bivalvia; Myida; Dreissenidae.
ACACCUCAGUUACUGAGAAAAUGGACAACAUUCCAGUGCCCAUCAGUCUGGGCCUGCAGCCUGUACCCCUAAUUGCCCACACUCACAGUAGAACGGGUUCAUAGGUCAAGGGCUUCUGGCGAAGGGUCAGGUGAGGCAGCCGCCCCAGGGCCAGGCGGCCCACAACGGAGAGGCUAGAACACCCACAACCGAGGAGAGAGGAAACAGCCGCAGGACUCGCCCCCUGUGAUCAGCUUGAUGAAGACCUAGUCCAAAAAGAAGUGAACAUAACAACAAACGAAGAGUAACAGAACAAUGUAUUAGCUGAUGCCGAUCUGGUCUAUGAGGUGGGAAGUAAAGUGAAAACAACCAUUGAGUCCCCAUUGCCAUGUGUGUCUGAUUCCCUAACCAAAGUCUUCUUUUGUGACAUUCGACCAAAUAACUUAGGGAUUCUUCAUGCUGUUCAAACAGUUUUUGCUCACAGAAAAUGUGGAUGAGGCACAGGUUAUAAUUGUCCAGGCAUGAUAUCAAGGAGCAGGGUAUGACACGGAUGAUAAUGAUGAUGAUGUGGGUGAUCCAGAUUGGAUUUACAAUAAAAGAAAGCACUCUCCAGACAGUGAAGACUCGGAUGAGGAUUUAAAAAGGCAAACAAAGAAAAACAGAAAUAACAGUGGAAAAAAGAAGUGGACGCCGCAGGAACAACGAGUUGUGAUGAGUGAAUUUGAAAAAUAUAUGCAUCGUAACAAAUUGCCUGGGAAGUCCGAAUGCGAGAAAUUGCUAAAAGAAAACCCGUGUUUAAGUAGAAGAAGUUGGAGAAAUAUUAAAGACUU